Tetranychus urticae (two-spotted spider mite) is the source of this 2408-nucleotide long non-coding RNA. RefSeq lists it as uncharacterized. Lineage: Eukaryota; Metazoa; Arthropoda; Arachnida; Trombidiformes; Tetranychidae. The record is from RefSeq and is a predicted model, not a curated record.
AUUGCUUGUAUCGUUCUUAGUCUUUGUCUGCAAAGUUGUUUAUUAAUUGUCUUGUAAUCUUCAAGUGAAUCAGCAAUUAAAUUUUGAAUUAUUUUGACCUGUUUUAUAAUUAAGUUGACAAAAAGUAGGAAAAUGUCAGGUAUAAUCAGGCUUAGCAUCAAUCAGCAUGGUCAAAAUUGGAAAGGAAUUGGCAUUGAAAUAAAACAGAGGAUUUGUUGAAAGAUAUCUAUUCAAUUUUCCAGGAUAAAUGGCUGUCACAAUUAAAUUUAAAGUUAUGUAUCAUAAAUGGAUCUGAAUGAGCCUAAUUUAUCCAGAACUGAAACAGUAAAGAUGAUUUCUUGCCAAGUUAACUGGAUGAUGGAACAUAUGAUGAUGAUGAUGAAUGCGACAAAAAAUUACUCUAAUCAAUCUUAUUCUUAAUCCAUUUGAAACUGUACAUCAAGCUACUAGCAAGGCAUGGAUAACCAUAUGAAAGACUCUGAUUGAUUGUUACAUUUAAUCAAUUACCAUGGAUACAAGAUAUGAUCGAGAAGGAAGAGUUGAUUAAAAUGGAUCCAAUUGUAAUAUAAUAAACCGACAAUUUACUGUUUUAGAUGAUCAUUGAUACAAAGGUUAAUUGUGAAAGCACACAAGAAAAGUACACAUAAUUGGUUCCACGCCAUUCCAGCUGUUAACCUGAAAUAAGUGAACACAGAGAGAGAUGAUUACUAUCGUUGGAUUUAAUUUUAAUAUGGUACAUUAAAAGCAUAACAUCAACAAUUAAUAACUAAUGGAGUAAAUUGUAAAGGAUUUUGACAAGGGCUGGAUUGUAUUUCAAUUAUAAACACAAGCAUUACCAACCACUCAAUGGAUCCUUUUCAUCUUAAUGAUACAAUUUGCUCAUAAUUGUCGAACCAGCUUAAGUAAUGUUAAUUAUCAAAAGGACAUUUCAUAAACAGUUAAUCAUUUAACCAGCCAAUAUCAUCUUGCAACUGCAGAAAGGAUUGACAGAGUUUACUGUAUUUAGCCAACUCGGCCAACAUGAUAACUCUAUGGAGGUUUCCAUGAAAAAAAGCUAAUGUCAUUUCAUCUUUCAGCCUGAAAGAAGCAGAAGAGAUUGAAUUGUCAAAAAAAGCCUUGGAAUGGUUCGAGUUAAUCACAAUUAAUGGUUUUAAUACAAUAACGGAAACUUGAACCAGCUCAAACUAGGAAGCACAUAAAAACACGUAAACACCAAAGGAAAUGGGUGCAAUCUAUUUGGAUAUAAUUUACGUUCAUUGACAGUUUUAUAUCACUUAUUGGCAGAAUUUAUUUGACAGACUGACUUUUUUUUUGUAUUCUGGACGAUCCAUUGAAAGACACUAAUUAAUCUGAUUUCAACGCAAAUGAGGACGCUUUGAAGGUUUUAAUGAAGGAAAAUAAUUACUCUGAUCGUCAAUACCAAUUUUUUUGGUAAAAUUACUUUUUCUUUCGUCCUCUUCAUUUUAAUUGUUGUGAACCAGCAAGUAGCAGUUAUAUCCUUGAGGCUUCCAUCAAACUCCAUUUGAAUUGUGGAGACAAAAUGAACAUCAACAGAUGACAAUCUAUUUAAUCAAUGAUUAAAAUGUUUUUCCUCUUUCUUCUCUUGUUAUUCUGGUUCACCACUGAAUUGAUAUUCAGGCUUUUGUUAUAAAAUGCUGUUGGUAAUCAUUAUUCAUAACAACCAUAAUGAAUUAUGAUUGUUGUAAUUUUUGACUUUGGCUUGACUUGAACCCAACUUUACGCAACUCAACCCCACACAAACCAGAUAAACUUAACUGUAACUCAGCUCAACCUAAUUAUUCAAGGAUAAUCAUCAUUGGAAACAUUGUUAAAUGUUGAUUUCAGCUUCUUUUUGUUGUCUCGAAUCAUCACCAUCACCAUCAAUCUAACCAUUCUGGCAGCCAUUAUUGUUAACAUCUAUUAUUGCUUCAUCACCUUGUUUAAUCUAAUUUAACUUUAAUUAGUCAAUCAAUCAUCAGCUAAAUCUUUAUCUCGCCGGUUCAUCGUCUGGUAAUGAUGAUAAUCAACAACCUUUCUUGAUUGUUACCAAAUUCAAAUGGUUAUUCCGUUUCCAUUAAAAGAUUCAAAUCAAACAAAAUAAGGUGAUGUUUGAUUAACCUGAUCAUCUCUGGAUAUCUUUACCUGAUCAACUGAUCACCAUUUUGUUCCGCUCGUUUAAUCAAUCAAUCAACCAAAAUCACUUGUACUGUUUGUAUUGAAAUAUCAAUCAUUACUUCAUUUGUUCAGUUUUUUUUAUUUAAUUUUCAAUUUUUCAUUUCAUUUUGAAUGCAAUGAUUGAUGUUAACAACUUUCAUUAAAUCAAUCAUUUAACCAAGUUUGGUACUUUAUUAAGCAAAAACCUCAAAUAAAGGGUCACCUUGACAGAGACAAUUGAUUAGACAAUCUAA